GAUGCACUAGCGCAGUGGUUGGUGUCUUGGGGUUGUACUCGAGAGGUCCUGGGUUCGAUCCCAGGGGAAGCC
This 72-nucleotide transfer RNA is filed under the name Hordeum vulgare. RNAcentral describes it as "tRNA-OTHER". The record is from RNAcentral. Lineage: Eukaryota; Viridiplantae; Streptophyta; Magnoliopsida; Poales; Poaceae.